Molecule: ribosomal RNA, 468 nt
Filed under: uncultured bacterium
Lineage: Bacteria
Description: partial 16S ribosomal RNA
Rfam family: Bacterial small subunit ribosomal RNA
Source: RNAcentral
GACGAACGCUGGCAGCGUGCUUAACACAUGCAAGUCGAACGGAAAGGCCCUGCUUUUGUGGGGUGCUCGAGUGGCGAACGGGUGAGUAACACGUGAGUAACCUGCCCUUGACUUUGGGAUAACUUCAGGAAACUGGGGCUAAUACCGGAUAGGAGCUCCUGCUGCAUGGUGGGGGUUGGAAAGUUUCGGCGGUUGGGGAUGGACUCGCGGCUUAUCAGCUUGUUGGUGGGGUAGUGGCUUACCAAGGCUUUGACGGGUAGCCGGCCUGAGAGGGUGACCGGCCACAUUGGGACUGAGAUACGGCCCAGACUCCUACGGGAGGCAGCAGUGGGAAAUAUUGCACAAUGGGCGGAAGCCUGAUGCAGCAACGCCGCGUGCGGGAUGACGGCCUUCGGGUUGUAAACCGCUUUCGCCUGUGACGAAGCGUGAGUGACGGUAAUGGGUAAAGAAGCACCGGCUAACUACGUG